GACGAACGCUGGCGGCGUGCUUAACACAUGCAAGUCGAACGGUAAGGCCCUUCGGGGUACACGAGUGGCGAACGGGUGAGUAACACGUGGGUGAUCUGCCCUGCACUUCGGGAUAAGCCUGGGAAACUGGGUCUAAUACCGGAUAGGACUCCUGGCUUCAUGGUUGGGGGUGGAAAGCUUUUGCGGUGUGGGAUGGGCCCGCGGCCUAUCAGCUUGUUGGUGGGGUAAUGGCCUACCAAGGCGACGACGGGUAGCCGGCCUGAGAGGGUGACCGGUAACACUGGGACUGGGAUACGGCCCAGACGCCGACGGGAGGCAGCAGUGGGGAAUAUUGCACAAUGGGCGCAAGCCUGAUGCAGCGACGCCGCGUGAGGGAUGACGGCCUUCGGGUUGUAAACCUCUUUCAGCUAUGACGAAGCGCAAGUGACGGUAGUAGCAGAAGAAGGACCGGCCAACUACGUGCCAGCCGCCGCCGUAA
RNAcentral lists this ribosomal RNA (478 nucleotides) under uncultured bacterium. RNAcentral's name for it is "partial 16S ribosomal RNA". It matches the Rfam family "Bacterial small subunit ribosomal RNA", at positions 28 to 523 of the family's 1533-position model. The record is from RNAcentral.